This 253-nucleotide ribosomal RNA is filed under the name uncultured bacterium. RNAcentral describes it as "partial 16S ribosomal RNA". It matches the Rfam family "Bacterial small subunit ribosomal RNA", at positions 524 to 776 of the family's 1533-position model. The record is from RNAcentral.
UACGUAGGGUGCAAGCGUUGUCCGGAAUUAUUGGGCGUAAAGAGCUCGUAGGCGGUCUGUUGCGUCGGCUGUGAAAACCCGGGGCUCAACCCCGGGCCUGCAGCCGAUACGGGCAGACUAGAGUUCGGCAGGGGAGACUGGAAUUCCUGGUGUAGCGGUGAAAUGCGUAGAUAUCUGGAGGAAUACCGGUGGCGAAGGCGGCAUCCUGGACCGACAUUGACGCUGAUGAGCGAAAGCUAGGGGAGCAAACGGG